AUGUUUGAUGAAGAUGAUAUUUUUAUUCUCCCAAGUUUUGAUAUGCAAGUUUAUAAUGAUGAUUGCAUGCCUCCUACUUAUGAUGAUUAUUGUGAUGAUACUUAUGCUAUAAAAAGUAGUGAUUAUAUUUAUAAAACUUGUCAUGGUUAUGAUUACCCCUUCUCUGAACAUUACUCUUUUAAUGUGGAAACAAUUUAUAGUAUUCAAGUUUCCUAUGAUACUCCCACUAUUCUGAAUAAGAAGAAUUUUGCUUAUGUGGAGAGUAAUAAAUUUUCUAUGCUUGUAGAUCAUGAAAAUAAUGCUUUAGGUACUGGUUAUAUUGUUAAAUUCAUUCAUGAUGCUACUGAAAAUUAUUAUGAGGGAGGAAUAUAUGCUUGUAGGAAUUGCAAUAAUGUCAAGUUUCCUCUCUAUGUGCUUAAAGUUUUGAAGUUAUGGUUGUUUUGCCCUCAUAUGCUAGUUGAUUAUUGUUCCCAUAAGUUGUUUGCUCACAAAAUCCCUAUGCAUAGGAAGUGGGUUAGGCUUAAAUGUUCUAGUCAUAUUCUUCAUGAUGCUCUAUUUAUUUUACAAUUCUUAUCUUUUAUGUGA
This 585-nucleotide ribosomal RNA is filed under the name Triticum aestivum (bread wheat). RNAcentral's name for it is "partial small subunit ribosomal RNA". Lineage: Eukaryota; Viridiplantae; Streptophyta; Magnoliopsida; Poales; Poaceae. The record is from RNAcentral.